Ribosomal RNA from Lepisosteus oculatus (spotted gar), 119 nucleotides. The record is from Ensembl. NCBI's taxonomy places the organism in Eukaryota, Metazoa, Chordata, Actinopteri, Semionotiformes, Lepisosteidae.
UUCAUAAGCCAUAUCACCCUGCAACUCACAACUGGCAACCCACUGAAGCUCAGCAGGUGUGAGCCUGGUCAGUACCUGGAUGGGAGACCUCCAGGGAAAAACUAAGGUUGCUGCUGGAA